Lineus longissimus is the source of this 878-nucleotide long non-coding RNA. RefSeq lists it as uncharacterized. NCBI's taxonomy places the organism in Eukaryota, Metazoa, Nemertea, Pilidiophora, Heteronemertea, Lineidae. The transcript has 4 exons. The record is from RefSeq and is a predicted model, not a curated record.
UGAACACGUGGUCUAUCGUCUGCUGAAGCUUCCUCGGCGUCUCAUUCGUCGCUUAUGCGCAUACGUCGCUUGUGCAAUUGCACGUACGCCGAUUGUGCUUUUCGGAGGAUAAAAACGAAGACGUGUGUGAUUUUACGUCACUAAUUGCUUCUUUUUCCCAAAUUUGUCUUCACAACACUACUUGUCACCACAACGUACAACGUUUCUGUCAUUGCUAGAGUGAAAAAUCGCAACAGGUUUUGCUUCUCAUCAGUUCAGCACGCGUGUUCAUUCUUGGAUUUUUGUGCAACUGGAACUAUUUCCCGUGCUAUUUGUUCAUAACUCCACCAUUAGGCGGCGUUACGUGGCCAAUUUCAGGAAAAUUCCGUGAAAUUCCUUCGACAUUUUGGGAAGGAAAGUGGUCUUCACAGUAUUGAAAUUUUGGAUUAAUGCUCUUUCUUGCUACUGCAGACUACGCACUCUCUUCGGAUAUUGAUUCAUCUCGAUCGGACACAAUAUUCGGACACAUUUUUGGAACUGGCAGAGUCUUCUUGAGCAAUUGUCAUCAAUCAAGUAGGAUGCAAAAGCCGAGUCGCUGACGGGGUCAACUUCGUACCAUACGACGUGACUAAUACUAACGAAUUAUAGAGUAUCGGCAGCUAUAGUUACGAUAACACACAGACAGAAUACCCGACAUAACAGGCAGGACAGGUACAGCGAUCAUUAGGAAGAGCAGAAAUGGCGCGAUUGGAAACCAACCGAGGCGUACCAGAAACUCAUAGCGGCGUCGAGAAUCAAGCCAACGUGUCGCAAAGUGUAGUGAUCUAAUCCCUGCUGGCGAGAACUGGCUUAUGAAUUGUUUUCUGCCUUGAAAUAAAAGGAGGUACAUGUUAUUACAU